UUUGCCUACGGGAGGCAGCAGUCGGGAAUAUUGCGCAAUGGAGGAAACUCUGACGCAGUGACGCCGCGUAUAGGAAGAAGGUUUUCGGAUUGUAAACUAUUGUCGUGAGGGAAGAAAAUGACGGUACCUGAGUAAGAAGCUCCGGCUAAAUACGUGCCAGCAGCCGCGGUAAUACGUAUGGAGCAAGCGUUAUCCGGAUUUACUGGGUGUAAAGGGAGCGCAGGCGGCCUUGCAAGUCUGAUGUGAAAUACCGGGGCUCAACCCCGGAGCUGCAUUGGAAACUGUGAGGCUGGAGUGUCGGAGAG
This 305-nucleotide ribosomal RNA is filed under the name uncultured bacterium. RNAcentral's name for it is "bacterial SSU rRNA". It matches the Rfam family "Bacterial small subunit ribosomal RNA", at positions 334 to 656 of the family's 1533-position model. The record is from RNAcentral.